Molecule: ribosomal RNA, 447 nt
Filed under: uncultured bacterium
Lineage: Bacteria
Description: bacterial SSU rRNA
Rfam family: Bacterial small subunit ribosomal RNA
Source: RNAcentral
UAGAGCGGCGGACGGGUGAGUAACACGUGGACAAUCUGCCCCCCGGCCCGGGAUGGCCCAGGGAAACCUGGAUUAAUACCGGAUGAGACGGGACCCGCGAUGGCGGGACCCGGGAAAGGCGCUGCGGCGCCGGCCGGGGGAUGAGUCUGCGUCCCAUUAGCUAGACGGCGGGGUAACGGCCCACCGUGGCGACGAUGGGUAGCCGGCCUGAGAGGGUGGACGGCCACAUUGGAACUGAGACACGGUCCAGACUCCUACGGGAGGCAGCAGCUAAGAAUCUUCCGCAAGUGGGACGAAAGCCUGACGGAGCGAACCGCCGCGUGAACGAAGAAGGCCGUGAGGUUAGUAAAGUUUCGUUUCGGGAGGGGGAACAACCGUGGCAGGGAAUGGCCGCGGGAUGACGUGAAUCCCGGAAUAAGCCCCGGCUAACUACGUGCCAGCCGCCGC